This 484-nucleotide ribosomal RNA is filed under the name uncultured bacterium. RNAcentral describes it as "partial 16S ribosomal RNA". It matches the Rfam family "Bacterial small subunit ribosomal RNA", at positions 30 to 507 of the family's 1533-position model. The record is from RNAcentral.
AUUGAACGCUGGCGGCAGGCCUAACACAUGCAAGUCGAGCGGAUGAAGGGAGCUUGCUCCUGGAUUCAGCGGCGGACGGGUGAGUAAUGCCUAGGAAUCUGCCUGGUAGUGGGGGAUAACGUCCGGAAACGGGCGCUAAUACCGCAUACGUCCUGAGGGAGAAAGUGGGGGAUCUUCGGACCUCACGCUAUCAGAUGAGCCUAGGUCGGAUUAGCUAGUUGGUGGGGUAAAGGCCUACCAAGGCGACGAUCCGUAACUGGUCUGAGAGGAUGAUCAGUCACACUGGAACUGAGACACGGUCCAGACUCCUACGGGAGGCAGCAGUGGGGAAUAUUGGACAAAGGGCGAAAGCCUGAUCCAGCCAUGCCGCGUGUGUGAAGAAGGUCUUCGGAUUGUAAAGCACUUUAAGUUGGGAGGAGGGGCAGUAAGUUAAUACCUUGCUGUUUUGACGUUACCAACAGAAUAAGCACCGGCUAACUUCGUG